GAAAGGAGCUGCUUCUGGACCAUCCUGUGGAACAGAGGGUGUGGAGUGUUCGGAUCCAACGUGAUCUUCUCUCUCUAACACUUCCCAAGUUGUUCUCUCUCUAACACUUGGGGUUUUUUUCUCUUUUUCUCGUAACACUUUAGAUUCCCUUCUCCACCUCAUGCCAAGAGAGUCCUGGCAUUGAAACCGAUCAACUACAGGCCACCAGUGAGUCCAAGUUCAGUCAACCAAACAAGCACGGGCCUGUAUUUCUUACCAGCUACAAGUGCUCCACAUUCCUUCAGUAACAUUUAGUAAGUGCAUCCCUGUCAGUGAAUCUACCCCAGUGAGUGCGUUAGCUCACCUCCUUAGCCUGGUAGCCUGAGAAUCCAUUCCCACAAAUGUUCACAUAGGAUUAAUCUGUUAGAUACCAGUUACAUCUGGGAAUUGUUUUGACACGUGAGCUAUUUCCUCAUGGUUCAGACUUAGCCGUGGGGCAUACUGUGACUGCACCCUACGUAUGGGCUGAAUGGCAAGGGGCAUGUUGCACAGGAUCUCAAGGACAACGUGAAUUGCAUUACAAGGGACCAAGCCCACACGAGAGAAUGACACAUUCCUCUAGCGAUGGGACACCGGUCCCUUAGACACGGGGCAGCUACGUGAACCACUAUGGGGGUGCUCGGAGGGGCUGAUGGCAUCCCGACUCUCAGCUUCGACUGAGGCCGAGCAGACGUCCCAGUUCCAGGUUUCCGGGCCACACUCCUCCAACCACGGCCAUACCUUUCACACGAGAAACACAGAGAGGCUGGGAAUUCAGUGGACUUUGGGAUUCUGUAACCCGCGCCGAUAAACUUGUGUUUAAUCUUCACCACGAGGAACCCUUGCAGGCCAUUGAAGACUUGGGGAGGUGGAGUAGCUUUCUAUCACAAUAACGCAAACAACGCGUAGAUAUCCACGAGCGCCGCUCUCUGAUCUCCUGAGAAAUCAAAGGAGGCUUCCGUGGGGGAUGGCCACCUGGGCUCACCUCUCAAGCCUCCAGGACAUGCUGAGUGUGCCACACGUUCCCCGGGGACCUCCAAGUGAGGGAGCGAGCCGCGCCGUAGAGCACAGCCCCACAGAAGGGGAUCUGGCUUGAGCCCGACGUCCUUGAUCCACACCCCGCCUGGGCCACUUGCCAGCUAGUGGCGCGGAAGAAGCCGUGAAUGGGGAUCACGCCUCGAACAGGCUGCUAGGGCUGCGGGAUGGCACAGCCGUGAAUGGGGAUCACGCCCGAGGCACACCGCAAGCUCGCAAUGCCAUGACCGCAAACGAUGUCCUCUGGCCUCUGAGAGUUGCACCCUGGGAAGGUCCACAGGGCCAGUCCUGUCUUCGACAGGCCUGCCGAUUCUCCACCAAGGUGGGCCGUGUCUUCAUGUCGAGGUUGCUGACGCGUGUCCCGCUGGGCCUCUGGGGGUCCUGGGCCGGAAGCCUGGGGUGGUAGCUCUACCCUUCCAGGGAGGGUGGAUGUGCUCGGCCGGCCCGGAGCCCAGCAGUACCACGACGAUGCAGGGGGAGCAGUUCCUCUCUCAGCCUGCAGCUAGGGGUCGGGGGAAGGCAGCCCCUCCCUGUUCGCGGCUGCUAGGACUGGAGUCAGGGGGGCGUUCGUCCCCGCUCCCUCAGACCCACUUCUCCUUAUAGCACCAUCCUGCCUUUGUCCCGCGGGGGUCACCCUUCACCAACACGGGUUUUAGGUGGGGUCUCGGUUCUGCCCUCUGACCUUCUGAAAGCCAUUUGCUCCUGGCACCUGGGAACCCCACCCCGGGAGCUCCUCCCCACCCCGGGAGCUCCUCCCCACGGCCCUAGCGCAUCCCUGCUCACCCACCCCUGACUUUGCAUUUGCUCUGCGUCCUCUUCCCCGGGAUUUCUCUUGCUUACCCGCGCGCCACCUAUGCGUGUUUCUCAUUCCGUAUUCGCUGGUCUUUCUCCCAAACUGGACUGGCAUCCCUGGAGGGCAGGGGCUGGCUGUCAGAGUGGCACCGCCCCCAGCCCCCAGCCCCCAGCCUAGGCAGCCCUGCAUCAUGUGACCGGCGCCCAGGGCCACAGCCAUUGGCCCAGCGGGUCAACCUACCAGCCCGGGUCACCGAGGACUUGGCAACAGGCUCAUCAAUGCCACCCCGGGUCUCCUUACUGUCAUCACACGUGGGAGGAGGCCUUCGUGCCCACCAUACGCAACCCAGAAAUCGCCAAUUGACAGUUUAAUACCCUUGGUGGUAUAAAAA
Lynx canadensis (Canada lynx) is the source of this 2237-nucleotide long non-coding RNA. RefSeq lists it as uncharacterized. NCBI's taxonomy places the organism in Eukaryota, Metazoa, Chordata, Mammalia, Carnivora, Felidae. The record is from RefSeq and is a predicted model, not a curated record. The transcript is spliced from 3 exons.